Molecule: ribosomal RNA, 253 nt
Filed under: uncultured bacterium
Lineage: Bacteria
Description: partial 16S ribosomal RNA
Rfam family: Bacterial small subunit ribosomal RNA
Source: RNAcentral
UACAGAGGUCCCAAGCGUUGUUCGGAUUCACUGGGCGUAAAGGGUGCGCAGGUGGGUUUGCAAGUUUGAUGUGAAAGCCCCGGGCUUAACCCGGGAAUGGCAUUGAAUACUGCAGAUCUGGAGGAUUGGAGGGGGGACUGGAAUUCUCGGUGUAGCAGUGAAAUGCGUAGAUAUCGAGAGGAACACCAGUGGCGAAGGCGAGUCUCUGGACGACACCUGACACUGAGGCACGAAAGCUAGGGGAGCAAACAGG